UAACCCUACAGUACCAAGAGGUCCGAUACUAUACAAUACUAACCCUACAGUACCAAGAGGUCCGAUACUAUACAAUACUAACCCUACAGUACCAAGAGACCAGAGGUCCGUUACUAUACAAUACUAACCCUACAGUACCAAGAGGUCUGAUACUAUACAAUACUAACCCUACAGUACCAAGAGGUCCGUUACUAUACAAUACUAACCCUACAGUACCAAGAGGUCUGAUACUAUACAAUACUAACCCUACAGUACCAAGAGGUCCGAUACUAUACAAUACUAACCCUAUAGUACCAAGAGACCAGAGGUCUGAUACUAUACAAUACUAACCCUACAGUACCAAGAGGUCCGAUACUAUACAAUACUAACCCUACAGUACCAAGAGGUCCGAUACUAUACAAUACUAACCCUACAGUACCAAGAGGUCCGAUACUAUACAAUACUAACCCUACAGUACCAAGAGGUCCGUUACUAUACAAUACUAACCCUACAGUACCAAGAGGUCUGAUACUAUACAAUACUAACCCUACAGUACCAAGAGGUCCGUUACUAUACAAUACUAACCCUACAGUACCAAGAGGUCCGAUACUAUACAAUACUAACCCUACAGUACCAAGAGGUCCGAUACUAUACAAUACUAACCCUACAGUACCAAGAGGUCCGUUACUAUACAAUACUAACCCUACAGUACCAAGAGGUCUGAUACUAUACAAUACUAACCCUACAGUACCAAGAGGUCCGUUACUAUACAAUACUAACCCUACAGUACCAAGAGGUCUGAUACUAUACAAUACUAACCCUACAGUACCAAGAGGUCCGAUACUAUACAAUACUAACCCUAUAGUACCAAGAGACCAGAGGUCUGAUACUAUACAAUACUAACCCUACAGUACCAAGAGGUCCGAUACUAUACAAUACUAACCCUACAGUACCAAGAGGUCCGUUACUAUACAAUACUAACCCUACAGUACCAAGAGGUCCGAUACUAUACAAUACUAACCCUACAGUACCAAGAGGUCCGUUACUAUACAAUACUAACCCUACAGUACCAAGAGGUCCGAUACUAUACAAUACUAACCCUACAGUACCAAGAGGUCCGAUACUAUACAAUACUAACCCUACAGUACCAAGAGACCAGAGGUCCGUUACUAUACAAUACUAACCCUACAGUACCAAGAGGUCUGAUACUAUACAAUACUAACCCUACAGUACCAAGAGGUCUGAUACUAUACAAUACUAACCCUACAGUACCAAGAGGUCCGUUACUAUACAAUACUAACCCUACAACCCUAAGUUCAAUGUCAGCGCCAUCUAAUUUGCAUAAUUAAACAAAAAAAUCCCCAUUAAAAAUCUGUCAGAUAGAGAGAUAUUUAUCGUUGUUAUAAAUCUGUCAGUUUGAGAUUGAGAUAUAUUUAAAUAUCUAAGGUUACUUACAUUUAUCCAACUAUAAUUCUAUCCCAUGGUCUUGCUCUCCCUUCCAUCUUCUCUGCCCCCCCUCCUCCCCCUUCUCACACAACCCUGUUCUCUGUCCUGAUCACAUGUAAAUGGCAGAUACUGAAUGACCUGUGGAGCUCUGAGGUUCCGGAACAUUGGAGCUCUGAGGUUCCGGAACAUUGGAGCUCUGAGGUUCCGGAACAUUGGAGCUCUGAGGUUCCGGAACAUUGGAGCUCUGAGGUUCCGGAACAUUGGAGCUCUGAGGUUCCGGAACAUUGGAGCUCUGAGGUUCCGGAACAUUGGAGCUCUGAGGUUCCGGAACAUUGGAGCUCUGAGGUUCCGGAACAUACUUUCAAGAAAAAAUUAUUUUUAGUUUGACCUGAUCACAGAGUUGGGGGAAGAGUGCUCUAGUUUGCUCCGGCUCAAAUUAAGCACUGAUCUAAUCUAUGUCCUUCCCCCUCUCUCUCUGUCCUCCUCCUAUCUCUCCUCCUCCUCCUCCCUAAUCUCCUCCUC
This is a long non-coding RNA of Oncorhynchus keta (chum salmon), 1947 nucleotides long. RefSeq lists it as uncharacterized. NCBI's taxonomy places the organism in Eukaryota, Metazoa, Chordata, Actinopteri, Salmoniformes, Salmonidae. The transcript has 3 exons. The record is from RefSeq and is a predicted model, not a curated record.